This 253-nucleotide ribosomal RNA is filed under the name uncultured bacterium. Its description in RNAcentral is "partial 16S ribosomal RNA". It matches the Rfam family "Bacterial small subunit ribosomal RNA", at positions 524 to 776 of the family's 1533-position model. The record is from RNAcentral.
UACGUAGGGUGCGAGCGUUGUCCGGAAUUAUUGGGCGUAAAGAGCUCGUAGGCGGUCUGUCGCGUCGAUCGUGAAACUUGGGGCUUAACCCUGAGCUUGCGGUCGAUACGGGCAUGACUGGAGUUCGGCAGGGGAGACUGGAAUUCCUGGUGUAGCGGUGAAAUGCGCAGAUAUCAGGAGGAACACCGGUGGCGAAGGCGGUUCUCUGGGCCUGUACUGACGCUGAGGAGCGAAAGCGUGGGGAGCGAACAGG